GUGAGCCCGCCCGCCACUCAGUGCCCGGGGUGUGCCGCCUCCGCAUCCUGCGCCCCAUCCUCUCCCAGCAGGUGGGCGUGCACUGCUGCAGCAGGAGGGGAAGGAAGACUCCUGAGUCCCUGGCCCGGCUGGGUGCUCUCCUCUCCGUAGCCUCCAGCCUGUCUGCACUGCAGCCCCAACCUGGGCCUAGCCUGCUGACCUCUGACCUUCUCUUUUGUUUUAAGAAACGCUUGAAAGCAGCUGAAGCUGAGAGCAAGUUAAAGCAAGUUUAUAUUCCCAACUAUAACAAGCCAAAUCCCAACCAAAUCAGCGUCAACAACGUCAAGGCCGGUGUGGUGAACGGCACGGGGGCGCCGGGCCAGAGCCCUGGGGCUGGCCGGGCCUGCGAGAGCUGUUACACCACACAGUCUUACCAGUGGUAUUCUUGGGGUCCCCCUAACAUGCAGUGUCGUCUCUGCGCAUCUUGUUGGACAUAUUGGAAGAAAUAUGGUGGCUUGAAAAUGCCAACCCGGUUAGAUGGAGAGAGGCCAGGACCAAACCGCAGUAACAUG
RNAcentral lists this small RNA (551 nucleotides) under Pan troglodytes (chimpanzee). Its description in RNAcentral is "retained intron". The record is from RNAcentral. Lineage: Eukaryota; Metazoa; Chordata; Mammalia; Primates; Hominidae.